CUUUUUGCAGAUCUGCGAUUGUACUUGUGAGAGAAAUUAAUUAAAAUAUCUUUUGAUUACAAGCUAGGGUAUGUGUGUCUAGUCUAAUCCAAACUAAAGAGUUUUGAUCGAUAAUUCUGCAGAUGAAGGAUUCAAAGCAUGAUUUAAAUUGGUGCGUAUCUUCAGAUGAUUAAUCUGCUCUUCCUCUAUUUUGAGUCGUCAGUUCCCAUUUAGAUCCAGACUCUGCAGAGUUCCUAUUGAACUUCCAUUAAUAUGUUUUGAUUACCAAGAAUGUAUCUUGAUCUACAAGAGUUGCUAAUCAGAAGCUGAGAUAAACAGGUUAUGAUUCUCUCAAUUGCUGUCUCUUUUUUUCUUGCUUCUUCUCUUUCUGGGAGGGACAAAGGCAUUUUGAUUCAAAAUUAAUAUUAUUAAUCAACUUUGUUUUGCAUAGUGGUUUCUGCUGUGGAAUUAGUAGAUCUUGAAAAUUGGAACUGACCAGUUUGGAACUGGCUGGAUCAUCGAUAUGCAAAUCAUGGUGGGAAGGAACUUGUCACAUUGGCACUGCCAUUCUUGUCUUUGCCUUUACACUUGUAAGCUGUGGACCAACUAUAAGUUUCCUAUCAGCUUGAGGGAGAUAAUAAUGCAGAUAUCAUGACUUGAGCAUCCGUAUGAAAAUUUUGUUCAUGACUUAGUUUCUUGUUUUCAUUUGACAUAUAGAAUUCGAAGUGUACUUGUUUUUCAGCUUGUAUGUAAUUACACUCCAGAUUAAA
Argentina anserina (silverweed cinquefoil) is the source of this 749-nucleotide long non-coding RNA. RefSeq lists it as uncharacterized. The record is from RefSeq and is a predicted model, not a curated record. NCBI's taxonomy places the organism in Eukaryota, Viridiplantae, Streptophyta, Magnoliopsida, Rosales, Rosaceae. The transcript is spliced from 2 exons.